UUGUGUGAAGGAGCCAUGCAUUCACCCUCCCUCCCACCUUACCCUAAAUGGAAGAGGACAUCCUUCUAGGUAGUACUGAUUAAGAAGUGUGCCUUUUUCUUUUGAAACACAGGAGUUCUUUCUUGCCAAACUUCGGUUGUUCUUGUGUUCUAGUCUUUUAUUUUCCUACUUGUUUUUAAUGAUAUCUAGCCAGUGACUGAUGUUUCUCAUGGUUGGAAAGUAUAAUUAAAGACACCUGUAUGUCAUACACAGUAUAGAAUCAUUUCCAUAAUUCUUUGCACAUUAUUGAUGAAUUCACAGCAGUGAUUUGUCUCAAGAGAAGCAAAUUGCAUCUGAUUUCACUGGUCUUCUCGUUUGUACUGUGCCUGCUUCACGCUGUUCUGCUAAAAAAGGCCCUAAAUUAAGUAAAAUUUGUUUGCUGGCUCUAUUGCCUCCUGUCACAGUCUAAGGAGAUCUACUGUUGAUAUAUUAUUUAUUUGUUUUUAGAUCAAGAGAGUUUGUGAGAUUCUGUACGCUUGGGACACCAUACAAAGUGGGUGUCAUCCCACUCCUUACUUUUGGCAAUAAAGGCUUACGUUUGAAAAUGCUCCUUACAAAAGAUCAACACGAAGAUUUUCAGACAGAUUAAAGGAGAUUCCCUUGAGUAAUGUGCCACACAUCAUGGCACAUUCAACAGAUCAGUGGAUGCCCUUGAUACCACAGAUGAAG
RNAcentral lists this long non-coding RNA (708 nucleotides) under Numida meleagris (helmeted guineafowl). RNAcentral describes it as "lncRNA (ENSNMEG00000001817.1)". Lineage: Eukaryota; Metazoa; Chordata; Aves; Galliformes; Numididae. The record is from RNAcentral.